Molecule: long non-coding RNA, 522 nt
Organism: Mauremys mutica (yellowpond turtle)
Lineage: Eukaryota; Metazoa; Chordata; Testudines; Geoemydidae
Exons: 3
Source: RefSeq, a predicted model, not a curated record
AGAUGAUGCAUGGAGAUGCCACAAGCAGCAAGGGAGAAGUCACCAGCGCUAUGAUACCCAAUCCCACCAGGAUCCCCACAACCUGCAAAGUUUAAAGAAAAAAAAUUUAACCAACAAGAAAAUAAAGCUGGUUGCCUACUUCCCAAGAUGAGAGAAGGCCCACUAGUUUCCCACCUAUUUCCAUGCAGAGGAAAGGAGGAGAAGAGGAGAUGCUGAUUGGCUGCUCCCAGCUAUUGUGGAAGGGUCCCAUGGUUCAAGCACACCAUGUCUGGACAAGUGAUGGGAGAACCACAGCCUUCUCGAAUUGCCAGCUGCAUAUACUGCUUUAGGCACUAGAAAGGAGAAAAGAAAAAAAAUGAUGGAAAGUUACAACCCACAUGAUAGUAACACGUAGAUGUUAACACCGCACUACGCAGGUGCCACCUCCGCUUCCUUAAUUGGCUCUCCUAGAGCACUAGUAUAGAGAAAACAUAAAUUAUCACAUGUGUGAAUGCUAAGAACCAUUACUUUGGGAAGAAUGCA